RNAcentral lists this ribosomal RNA (253 nucleotides) under uncultured bacterium. RNAcentral describes it as "partial 16S ribosomal RNA". It matches the Rfam family "Bacterial small subunit ribosomal RNA", at positions 524 to 776 of the family's 1533-position model. The record is from RNAcentral.
UACGGGGGGAGCGAGCGUUGUUCGGAGUUACUGGGCGUAAAGAGUGCGUAGGCGGUUUUCUAAGUUUGGUGUGAAAUCUCCCGGCUUAACUGGGAGGGUGCGCCGAAAACUGGAAGGCUUGAGUAUGGGAGAGGUAAGCGGAAUUCCUGGUGUAGCGGUGAAAUGCGUAGAUAUCAGGAGGAACACCUGCGGUGUAGACGGCUUACUAGGCUUCAACUGACGCUGAGGCACGAAAGUGUGGGGAUCAAACAGG